UUUUAGAGAUAGAGGAGAAUCUUGAGUUCAGAAGUUUGAGACAGCCCUAAGCAACAAAGACAGACCCUAUCAUAAAUUAAUAAGUGGAGCAGUGGCAUAUACCUUUAACACAGGCCCUCAGGAGGUAGAGGCAGAGGCAGGUGGAUCCCUGUGCAUUGAGGCCAGCCUGGUCUAAACCUACAGAAGUUUCACAACAGUGGGGUAACCUGACAAUAGGAGAGCUGACCCCACUCCUAGCCAGCUGCAGUACUCAAGAGAGUGUGCCCUGCACAUUUCAGGAGUUGCAGCCACUCCCGCAAAACUGGUAAGAAAUUGUUAGCCAGACGUAGCGGUGCACACCUGUAACCACAGUGCUCAGGAGGAUGAAGCUGGAAGACUAACUACAGAGUUCAUAGGCUAGCGAGGACCCUCUCAAAGAAAAGAAAGAAAAAACCUUCAUUCAAAGCUAACAGGCAGAGGCCAGGGCAGGAAGCCUGAAGAAGGAUGUCACACUCCCCCAAGAAGCUGCCAGACAACAGGUGGCCCAGGCCCAGUUAUAGGGCCUGAACUGAAUCUGCAACUUCACUGACCUAGAGUUGCUGCACAUUUCCUGGUCAUGUGGAGGGGAAAGACUAGAACACACAACAUGGACUAUUAAAGACUAAACAGGGCUGAAGAGAUGCCUCAGCAGGUAUCAAGAACACACCAUUUGCUCUGCUGUUCCCCAAUAAGGCAUGGGCAGUCUCAGCUCUCAGCACCAACCUAACACCUACACAACAAAAAUCCUGUCACAGACACUAAAACUGAAAAUUAUAUACAGUAGGCCAAACAGCAGAUUCAACACAGCAGGAGAUGAGAGGAAGUAAGGAAAAUCCUGCACUGUGUGGUUAUUGCCAAUGAACUCUAGCAAGGCAGAAAACACCACCUUCACAGGAAAUCUUCCACAAAGCAUACCAAGAAACACUGUCCACCUUGUUCAUGAGAGCAAUACAACCUCAACACCAAAAUCUCCCAAGGGCACAAGAAGGUGAUGAAACAGGUUCCAAGACCAGGCUCCCAGGUUUGUGAAGCAAGCUCUUUAACCCACCAAGCCUCUCACUGGCCCAAGCAGAUUUCAUGAGCCAGACUAAAAAAAUCUUAAAAAACAAAGGUGAAGAAUUUAAAACGUCAGAUCUCAAGACAACUUCUGUUGUCAACAACUCAUCCAGUCAUUUGUGCAAAGAUGGCAAAGAUACCACCGGAGCAGAAGAGCUACCCAUCCACUUCAUCACUCUACCACUGUGACACACCCUAACUCUCAAGACUGGCAGAUCAGGGCACAUUACCUUGGGUUUUGUGGGGAUUUGUUGAAUUUUUUUUUUUUGAGACAGUUCAUUCUGUAGCCCUAACUAGCCUGGAACUUACUAUACAGACUAGGUUGGCCUCAAUCUCAAAGAGAUCCA
Molecule: long non-coding RNA, 1421 nt
Organism: Mastomys coucha (southern multimammate mouse)
Lineage: Eukaryota; Metazoa; Chordata; Mammalia; Rodentia; Muridae
Exons: 7
Source: RefSeq, a predicted model, not a curated record